RNAcentral lists this ribosomal RNA (222 nucleotides) under uncultured bacterium. RNAcentral describes it as "partial 16S ribosomal RNA". It matches the Rfam family "Bacterial small subunit ribosomal RNA", at positions 128 to 334 of the family's 1533-position model. The record is from RNAcentral.
GCCCUUCAGAGGGGGACAACAGUUGGAAACGACUGCUAAUACCGCAUACGAUCUGACCUCGGCAUCGAGGAUAGAUGAAAGGUGGCCUCUAUUUAUAAGCUAUCACUGAAGGAGGGGAUUGCGUCUGAUUAGCUAGUUGGAGGGGUAACGGCCCACCAAGGCGAUGAUCAGUAGCCGGUCUGAGAGGAUGAACGGCCACAUUGGGACUGAGACACGGCCCAG